This 252-nucleotide ribosomal RNA is filed under the name uncultured bacterium. RNAcentral describes it as "partial 16S ribosomal RNA". It matches the Rfam family "Bacterial small subunit ribosomal RNA", at positions 524 to 775 of the family's 1533-position model. The record is from RNAcentral.
UACGUAGGGUGCGAGCGUUAAUCGGAAUUACUGGGCGUAAAGCGUGCGCAGGCGGUUAUGUAAGACAGUUGUGAAAUCCCCGGGCUCAACCUGGGAACUGCAUCUGUGACUGCAUAGCUAGAGUACGGUAGAGGGGGAUGGAAUUCCGCGUGUAGCAGUGAAAUGCGUAGAUAUGCGGAGGAACACCGAUGGCGAAGGCAAUCCCCUGGACCUGUACUGACGCUCAUGCACGAAAGCGUGGGGAGCAACAGG